This 254-nucleotide ribosomal RNA is filed under the name uncultured bacterium. Its description in RNAcentral is "partial 16S ribosomal RNA". It matches the Rfam family "Bacterial small subunit ribosomal RNA", at positions 333 to 603 of the family's 1533-position model. The record is from RNAcentral.
UAUGUCCUACGGGGGGCAGCAGUGGGGAAUAUUGCACAAUGGGGGAAACCCUGAUGCAGCGACGCCGCGUGAGUGAAGAAGUAUUUCGGUAUGUAAAGCUCUACCAGCAGGGAAGAAGAAGGACGGUACCUGAGUAAGAAGCCCCGGCUAACUACGUGCCAGCAGCCGCGGUAAUACGUAGGGGGCAAGUGUUAUCCGGAUUUACUGGGUGUAAAGGGAGCGUAGACGGCGAUGCAAGUCUGAAGGGAAAGGCG